GAUGAACGCUGGCGGCGUGCCUAAUACAUGCAAGUCGAGCGAACAGACGAGGAGCUUGCUCCUCUGACGUUAGCGGCGGACGGGUGAGUAACACGUGGAUAACCUACCUAUAAGACUGGGAUAACUUCGGGAAACCGGAGCUAAUACCGGAUAAUAUAUUGAACCGCAUGGUUCAAUAGUGAAAGACGGUUUUGCUGUCACUUAUAGAUGGAUCCGCGCCGCAUUAGCUAGUUGGUAAGGAAACGGCUUACCAAGGCAACGAUGCGUAGCCGACCUGAGAGGGUGAUCGGCCACACUGGUACUGAGACACGGUCCAGACUCCUACGGGAGGCAGCAGUAGGGAAUCUUCCGCAAUGGGCGAAAGCCUAACGGAGCAACGCCGCGUGAGUGAUGAAGGUCUUCGGAUCGUAAAACUCUGUUAUUAGGGAAGAACAAAUGUGUAAGUAACUAUGCACGUCUUGACGGUACCUAAUCAGAAAGCCACGGCUAACUACGUG
RNAcentral lists this ribosomal RNA (497 nucleotides) under uncultured bacterium. RNAcentral describes it as "partial 16S ribosomal RNA". It matches the Rfam family "Bacterial small subunit ribosomal RNA", at positions 28 to 507 of the family's 1533-position model. The record is from RNAcentral.